RNAcentral lists this ribosomal RNA (440 nucleotides) under uncultured bacterium. RNAcentral's name for it is "partial 16S ribosomal RNA". It matches the Rfam family "Bacterial small subunit ribosomal RNA", at positions 338 to 795 of the family's 1533-position model. The record is from RNAcentral.
CCUACGGGUGGCAGCAGUAGGGAAUAUUGCUCAAUGGGGGAAACCCUGAAGCAGCAACGCCGCGUGGAGGAUGAAGGUUUUCGGAUUGUAAACUCCUUUUGUUAGAGAAGAUAAUGACGGUAUCUAACGAAUAAGCACCGGCUAACUCCGUGCCAGCAGCCGCGGUAAUACGGAGGGUGCAAGCGUUACUCGGAAUCACUGGGCGUAAAGAGCGCGUAGGCGGGAUAGCAAGUCAGAUGUGAAAUCCUAGGGCUUAACCAUAGAACUGCAUUUGAAACUGUUAUUCUAGAGUAUGGGAGAGGGAGGUGGAAUUCUUGGUGUAGGGGUAAAAUCCGUAGAGAUCAAGAGGAAUACUCAUUGCGAAGGCGACCUGCUAGAACAUAACUGACGCUGAUGCGCGAAAGCGUGGGGAGCAAACAGGAUUAGAUACACGGGUAGUC